This 2773-nucleotide ribosomal RNA is filed under the name Escherichia coli. RNAcentral's name for it is "bacterial LSU rRNA". It matches the Rfam family "Bacterial large subunit ribosomal RNA". Lineage: Bacteria; Pseudomonadati; Pseudomonadota; Gammaproteobacteria; Enterobacterales; Enterobacteriaceae. RNAcentral also lists the same sequence under 1 other name. The record is from RNAcentral.
AGCGUACACGGUGGAUGCCCUGGCAGUCAGAGGCGAUGAAGGACGUGCUAAUCUGCGAUAAGCGUCGGUAAGGUGAUAUGAACCGUUAUAACCGGCGAUUUCCGAAUGGGGAAACCCAGUGUGUUUCGACACACUAUCAUUAACUGAAUCCAUAGGUUAAUGAGGCGAACCGGGGGAACUGAAACAUCUAAGUACCCCGAGGAAAAGAAAUCAACCGAGAUUCCCCCAGUAGCGGCGAGCGAACGGGGAGCAGCCCAGAGCCUGAAUCAGUGUGUGUGUUAGUGGAAGCGUCUGGAAAGGCGCGCGAUACAGGGUGACAGCCCCGUACACAAAAAUGCACAUGCUGUGAGCUCGAUGAGUAGGGCGGGACACGUGGUAUCCUGUCUGAAUAUGGGGGGACCAUCCUCCAAGGCUAAAUACUCCUGACUGACCGAUAGUGAACCAGUACCGUGAGGGAAAGGCGAAAAGAACCCCGGCGAGGGGAGUGAAAAAGAACCUGAAACCGUGUACGUACAAGCAGUGGGAGCACGCUUAGGCGUGUGACUGCGUACCUUUUGUAUAAUGGGUCAGCGACUUAUAUUCUGUAGCAAGGUUAACCGAAUAGGGGAGCCGAAGGGAAACCGAGUCUUAACUGGGCGUUAAGUUGCAGGGUAUAGACCCGAAACCCGGUGAUCUAGCCAUGGGCAGGUUGAAGGUUGGGUAACACUAACUGGAGGACCGAACCGACUAAUGUUGAAAAAUUAGCGGAUGACUUGUGGCUGGGGGUGAAAGGCCAAUCAAACCGGGAGAUAGCUGGUUCUCCCCGAAAGCUAUUUAGGUAGCGCCUCGUGAAUUCAUCUCCGGGGGUAGAGCACUGUUUCGGCAAGGGGGUCAUCCCGACUUACCAACCCGAUGCAAACUGCGAAUACCGGAGAAUGUUAUCACGGGAGACACACGGCGGGUGCUAACGUCCGUCGUGAAGAGGGAAACAACCCAGACCGCCAGCUAAGGUCCCAAAGUCAUGGUUAAGUGGGAAACGAUGUGGGAAGGCCCAGACAGCCAGGAUGUUGGCUUAGAAGCAGCCAUCAUUUAAAGAAAGCGUAAUAGCUCACUGGUCGAGUCGGCCUGCGCGGAAGAUGUAACGGGGCUAAACCAUGCACCGAAGCUGCGGCAGCGACGCUGAUGCGUUGUUGGGUAGGGGAGCGUUCUGUAAGCCUGCGAAGGUGUGCUGUGAGGCAUGCUGGAGGUAUCAGAAGUGCGAAUGCUGACAUAAGUAACGAUAAAGCGGGUGAAAAGCCCGCUCGCCGGAAGACCAAGGGUUCCUGUCCAACGUUAAUCGGGGCAGGGUGAGUCGACCCCUAAGGCGAGGCCGAAAGGCGUAGUCGAUGGGAAACAGGUUAAUAUUCCUGUACUUGGUGUUACUGCGAAGGGGGGACGGAGAAGGCUAUGUUGGCCGGGCGACGGUUGUCCCGGUUUAAGCGUGUAGGCUGGUUUUCCAGGCAAAUCCGGAAAAUCAAGGCUGAGGCGUGAUGACGAGGCACUACGGUGCUGAAGCAACAAAUGCCCUGCUUCCAGGAAAAGCCUCUAAGCAUCAGGUAACAUCAAAUCGUACCCCAAACCGACACAGGUGGUCAGGUAGAGAAUACCAAGGCGCUUGAGAGAACUCGGGUGAAGGAACUAGGCAAAAUGGUGCCGUAACUUCGGGAGAAGGCACGCUGAUAUGUAGGUGAGGUCCCUCGCGGAUGGAGCUGAAAUCAGUCGAAGAUACCAGCUGGCUGCAACUGUUUAUUAAAAACACAGCACUGUGCAAACACGAAAGUGGACGUAUACGGUGUGACGCCUGCCCGGUGCCGGAAGGUUAAUUGAUGGGGUCAGCGCAAGCGAAGCUCUUGAUCGAAGCCCCGGUAAACGGCGGCCGUAACUAUAACGGUCCUAAGGUAGCGAAAUUCCUUGUCGGGUAAGUUCCGACCUGCACGAAUGGCGUAAUGAUGGCCAGGCUGUCUCCACCCGAGACUCAGUGAAAUUGAACUCGCUGUGAAGAUGCAGUGUACCCGCGGCAAGACGGAAAGACCCCGUGAACCUUUACUAUAGCUUGACACUGAACAUUGAGCCUUGAUGUGUAGGAUAGGUGGGAGGCUUUGAAGUGUGGACGCCAGUCUGCAUGGAGCCGACCUUGAAAUACCACCCUUUAAUGUUUGAUGUUCUAACGUUGACCCGUAAUCCGGGUUGCGGACAGUGUCUGGUGGGUAGUUUGACUGGGGCGGUCUCCUCCUAAAGAGUAACGGAGGAGCACGAAGGUUGGCUAAUCCUGGUCGGACAUCAGGAGGUUAGUGCAAUGGCAUAAGCCAGCUUGACUGCGAGCGUGACGGCGCGAGCAGGUGCGAAAGCAGGUCAUAGUGAUCCGGUGGUUCUGAAUGGAAGGGCCAUCGCUCAACGGAUAAAAGGUACUCCGGGGAUAACAGGCUGAUACCGCCCAAGAGUUCAUAUCGACGGCGGUGUUUGGCACCUCGAUGUCGGCUCAUCACAUCCUGGGGCUGAAGUAGGUCCCAAGGGUAUGGCUGUUCGCCAUUUAAAGUGGUACGCGAGCUGGGUUUAGAACGUCGUGAGACAGUUCGGUCCCUAUCUGCCGUGGGCGCUGGAGAACUGAGGGGGGCUGCUCCUAGUACGAGAGGACCGGAGUGGACGCAUCACUGGUGUUCGGGUUGUCAUGCCAAUGGCACUGCCCGGUAGCUAAAUGCGGAAGAGAUAAGUGCUGAAAGCAUCUAAGCACGAAACUUGCCCCGAGAUGAGUUCU